Molecule: non-coding RNA, 72 nt
Organism: Phrynosoma platyrhinos (Desert horned lizard)
Lineage: Eukaryota; Metazoa; Chordata; Lepidosauria; Squamata; Phrynosomatidae
Source: the annotation of a GenBank genome assembly
GCCAGUGUGGUGUAGUGGUUUGAGCAUUGGACUAUGAAUCUAGAGACCAUGGUUCGAAUCCCUGCUCGGCCA